GACGGUACUCCGAGGUAGGGGUAAAUCUUGAUCCCGAGACACAGUGCGAGUCGUCCGCAGAUCGCGCUCGACGUGAGGAUGAAGCUGGGGGAGCGAACCGGAUUAGAUACCCGGGUAGUCCCAGCCGUAAACGAUGCGAGCUAGGUGACACAACGCCUUUCGGGGCGUUGUGGUGCCGCAGGGAAGCCGUUAAGCUCGCCGCCUGGGGAGUACGGACGCAAGUCUGAAACUUAAAGGAAUUGGCGGGGGAGCACCACAAGGGGUGAAGCCUGCGGUUCAAUUGGAGUCAACGCCGGGAAUCUUACCGGGAGCGACAGCAGAUUGAAGGUCAAGCUGAAGACUUUACCAGACGAGCUGAGAGGAGGUGCAUGGCCGUCGCCAGCUCGUGCCGUGAGGCGUCCUGUUAAGUCAGGCAACGAGCGAGACCCCUACUUCUAAUUGCUUUAACAGACAUCGCAAGGUGUUUGUGGCUAGUUAGAAGGACUGCCGCCGCUAAGGCGGAGGAAGGAAGGGGCCACGGCAGGUCAGUAUGCCCCGAAACUCCCGGGCCACACGCGGGCUGCAAUGGUAAGGACAAUGGGUUCCGAUCUCGAAAGAGCUAGGCAAUCCCCAAACCUUACCCCAGUUGUGACUGAGGGCUGUAACCCGCCCUCACGAAUCUGGAAUCCCUAGUAACCGCGUGUCACCAUCGCGCGGUGAAUACGUCCCUGCUCCUUGUACUCACCCCCGUC
This 731-nucleotide ribosomal RNA is filed under the name uncultured Thermoprotei archaeon. RNAcentral's name for it is "bacterial SSU rRNA". It matches the Rfam family "Archaeal small subunit ribosomal RNA", at positions 610 to 1354 of the family's 1478-position model. The record is from RNAcentral. Lineage: Archaea; Thermoproteati; Thermoproteota; Thermoprotei.